This 234-nucleotide non-coding RNA is filed under the name Peptoniphilus duerdenii. RNAcentral describes it as "T-box sequence". It matches the Rfam family "T-box leader". Rfam says of the family: Uncharged tRNA acts as the effector for transcription antitermination of genes in the T-box leader family. T-boxes are found upstream of many aminoacyl-tRNA synthetase genes and some amino acid biosynthetic genes usually in Gram-positive bacteria. Lineage: Bacteria; Bacillati; Bacillota; Tissierellia; Tissierellales; Peptoniphilaceae. The record is from RNAcentral.
AUAAAAAUAUUGGAAAAAACGAGUAGAUUUAUUGAAGUUUAAAGAGAGUAGGCGUUUGGUGGAAGCCUAUAAUGGAAAUAGAUUCGAAAAUCAUUUUUCUUAUGCAAGUCUGAAAUAAUAUUAAGAUUUGUCGCUGUAGUAGGCGUUAUCUAUACUCGGCAUUGAUAGAUGCUUGUUAAGAGUGCUUACAUUUAUGUAAGAAAUAAGGUGGUAACGCGGUAAUUCGUCCUUUGU